UCUUGGUCAUUUAGAGGAAGUAAAAGUCGUAACAAGGUCUCCGUUGGUGAACCAGCGGAGGGAUCAUUACGAGAGUGUCACCACUCCCAACCCACUGUUUACCUACCCGUCCACCGUGCUUCGGCAGGCAGUCCUGUGGGACAGGGCCUCGCCCCCGCGAGGGGGUGCCUGCCGCUGGCCAACCAAAAAUUCUAGCUGUUUUUGUACCAUCUGAGUCUUCCACAAAUAAACAAAACUUUCAACAACGGAUCUCUUGGUUCUGGCAUCGAUGAAGAACGCAGCGAAAUGCGAUAAGUAAUGUGAAUUGCAGAAUUCAGUGAAUCAUCGAAUCUUUGAACGCACAUUGCGCCCACUAGUAUUCUGGUGGGCAUGCCUGUUCGAGCGUCAUUUCAACCCUCAAGCCUGGCUUGGUGUUGGGGCUCUGCGUCUGCAGUCCCUUAAAUCCAGUGGCGGACACGCUAGGUCUCCGAGCGCAGUAGUUUCUCCUCGCUCAGGGCGUCCGGCGUGGGCUUGCCUCGCACCCAUCUUUUACAAGGUUGACCUCGGAUCAGGUAGGAAUACCCGCUGAACUUAAGCAUAUCAAUAAGCGGAGGAA
This 595-nucleotide ribosomal RNA is filed under the name Myrmecridium sp. TMS-2011. RNAcentral describes it as "eukaryotic LSU rRNA". The stretch from base 234 to 387 matches the Rfam family "5.8S ribosomal RNA". The record is from RNAcentral. Lineage: Eukaryota; Fungi; Ascomycota; Sordariomycetes; Myrmecridiales; Myrmecridiaceae.